RNAcentral lists this ribosomal RNA (486 nucleotides) under uncultured bacterium. RNAcentral's name for it is "partial 16S ribosomal RNA". It matches the Rfam family "Bacterial small subunit ribosomal RNA", at positions 30 to 507 of the family's 1533-position model. The record is from RNAcentral.
AUUGAACGCUGGCGGCAUGCCUUACACAUGCAAGUCGAACGGCAGCACGGGUGCUUGCACCUGGUGGCGAGUGGCGAACGGGUGAGUAAUACAUCGGAACAUGUCCUGUAGUGGGGGAUAGCCCGUCGAAAGCCGGAUUAAUACCGCAUACGAUCCACUGAUGAAAGCGGGGGACCUUCGGGCCUCGCGCUAUAGGGUUGGCCGAUGGCUGAUUAGCUAGUUGGUGGGGUAAAGGCCUACCAAGGCGACGAUCAGUAGCUGGUCUGAGAGGACGACCAGCCACACUGGGACUGAGACACGGCCCAGACUCCUACGGGAGGCAGCAGUGGGGAAUUUUGGACAAUGGGCGAAAGCCUGAUCCAGCAAUGCCGCGUGUGUGAAGAAGGCCUUCGGGUUGUAAAGCACUUUUGUCCGGAAAGAAAUCCUUGACUCUAAUACAGUCGGGGGAUGACGGUACCGGAAGAAUAAGCACCGGCUAACUACGUG